Molecule: long non-coding RNA, 1816 nt
Filed under: Homo sapiens (human)
Lineage: Eukaryota; Metazoa; Chordata; Mammalia; Primates; Hominidae
Description: non-protein coding LINC01806:21
Source: RNAcentral
AGAGUGCCCCGGCGUCUUUCUAGCCUCCGCCUCCAGGCGGGUGAGGAGGUGACACCUGAGAAUUCCUCCCUCUCACCCCUGACCCUGCCGGAAAGCGAAACUGAGAUGCGGGCAUUGGGCCCUGGGAAGCGUGGGGAAGGGGAAAGGAGAAAGCCAGGUUAACUACGUCAGGAUUAAUGUGUUCCACUUCUGCUGCCUGAGAUCAAGUCUUUGUUGUCUUGCUGAGUUUUGUCUGUUUCAUGGAACACAACAAUACACUCUACAGGAAGAACUUUAACUAAAAAGCCCUUAUAUUUCGAUUCCAGAAAAUGGAGAAAUUAAGUCCUUUCCAUGGAUCAUUCCUUCUGUAAACAGAGAUCACAAAGCAAGAGCUUCAGCAUCCUCGUGAAAAAGACAUUUUGUUCUGGGUGUCAUCAUCUCCUUCCACUACAGCUUGCAAUUGGAACAAGCUUCACAUCCUGGGGGUGCUGCCUAUCUCUGUCUUGAUUUCUGUCUGUCUAUUCCUCCCAUUGACAGGAAUGUCGUUUGUAUCCUCCACGCAGCAGUUUGCAGAAAUCCAGCAAGGUUUAUGGUUUAUGUUGCCCAGCAUGUAUAAACACAACGCUCUCAAAUGCUUUUUAAAAAUCUAUGAAUUUGUUAGAUGUCUUCACAUCCUGGUCCUCCUACCCCAAUUCUCAAACACAAAGUACUCUGUUGCCCUAUUAUAGUCCUGCGAUAGUUCUGGCUAGGAUUAGGUUGACGGUCUAAGCCCCAAGAAAGGCCUGGCAUUUUCAUAGCAGGCUUUCCCCAGUGCUUUGAGUCUUCCUCUCUCACUCCCUUUUUCUUUUUCCCUCGGAGGAGGGGGUGUUGGGGGUGGGAGGUGAUUAGUAAAUGUUUCAGGUAAUCUGUGAAUUCUUAAUAGUCAUAUUUCCGUGGUGGAAGAUCUCCCUAUUUCUCUGAUGUGACAGGUUACAGAAACCUUGGUGUUGGGGGUUUUACAGAUAUUUACAAGUUCUAGGAGUUUGAACUUUGGGUCAAGAUGUUGAUUCCUUUUAAUGUGCGAGGGUGAAGGAGGUUUUAUUUUGCUUUAUUCUUUUGGAUAUUAUGAGAUGAGAUUGUAUCCAGUCUUGGCUGUAACCUAUACCAUAAAUGCAGAGCUGCAACCAUUAUUUCUGUCUCUUUCUCCUUUUAUCACCUACACUUCUAGAGAUAUUACUUUCAGUUUUAUUGCAAAUCAUCUGUGUCUUUAGUUUAAACCAUUAUUUUUCAUAUACCCCAGGCACAUUUCCCUUAUAAUGAGACAAAUUUUAGAUUAUUAAUGUUCCACCUAAAAGGAUACUGUACACUUUUCAUUGCCAAUAUGGGCUUUGAAGCUUAAAUAUCAACAUUUUUAUAGGAAAUUUACCCAUGUCAAAUUUAAAUAUAUUUGCUUAUAUUUCUUGGAAAAAAGAUUUUGGAUAACUAUCAAUUAAGCAGCCAAUUCCAUUUGGGGUGCAGAAAAUUUUGAGCCCCUUGAUAAGAAGGAACAAAAUUUUUCCUCUAAAUAACCAACUCUGGAUCAGAAAAACUGAACUUUUCUAAAUAUUUAUUAUUAACAAAACUUUUUUUUGUCUGAUUCCACUAGAAGCAUUCUAUGUUGUGAACACUAUAAAGUUAUCCUAUGUUGUGAACACCAUAAAGUUAUGAGGGAAAAAAUGUCAAAUCUAAAUUUUAUUUAGAAGUAACAUAUUGUUUUUCUGGACUUGCAAUCCAAUUCGAAUGCAUCGUUAGACUUUUCUGUUUUCUUAUGAUUAAACAACAAUGGCUUAAAAUGAUAGCAAGUCAACUGAAAAGUUGC